RNAcentral lists this long non-coding RNA (449 nucleotides) under Elaeis guineensis (African oil palm). RNAcentral's name for it is "long non-coding RNA (EGUI_LNC061357)". The record is from RNAcentral. Lineage: Eukaryota; Viridiplantae; Streptophyta; Magnoliopsida; Arecales; Arecaceae.
GUAUGGCAUACAGGUGAGAUGUAACGGUACAUCUGCACUGAACGUGACCGACUCCGGAGCUAUUUCUGCUGUCAAGAUUUGCUCCGAUGGGAUAUGGGUAUAAAUGUCCCUCUGACCUGAGACCGCCAUGGUGACUUGCAAGCAACUCACUGCACUUAAGCACUGGACUACCUGAAUUUCUAAUUCAGUGACGGAAGGCUGCUGAGUGUAGUCAAGUACUUGACUUGUCGAUGCGUGUGUCAAGAUGGGAUUGACCACUCCAAUUUAGGAGCUGUGUACAGUCGUGUUUCAAUUUAGCAAAAUCUUAGCCAGGGUAGUCCUAGUGAGGAGUCACAGGACUAAUUGAGUUGAGCAUGAUUCGGAUGAUCUCAUCAGGGUUGACAGUUUAACCCUGAGUCGUCCUAAACACAGGGGUCAAAAGGGAUGAAUUAUACGGUAACCAUAUUCAC